RNAcentral lists this long non-coding RNA (1100 nucleotides) under Capra hircus (goat). Its description in RNAcentral is "lncRNA (ENSCHIG00010018001.1)". Lineage: Eukaryota; Metazoa; Chordata; Mammalia; Artiodactyla; Bovidae. The record is from RNAcentral.
GGCAGGGGGCGGCGGGCGUCUGCCGGGGCCUGAGCUCCUUUUAGGAAAAGGGGAGGUGCGCUUCCUGCCCCCGCCGGGGUCGGCUUCGCUUUCUCUGGUCCCACCCGGUCCCUCGGGAGCUGCAUCUCCCGCGGCUCGGCCAGGGAAAGUUCACCGGGCGCCGUCCCCGCCCCUCGGCCCCCGCCCCUCCGGCUCUCGGUGCCCCGGGCUCUAAGCUCCAGGGGGGUGGUGUUGGCGCUAAUUCAUCCUUUCCUCUCCGUUUGCGGCAUGCAUUGUUCCUUUUACACCUAGCACGGGCUUGUCCGUUUCUUUUCCCCUUGAAAGAAGUUUUCGUUCCAAGAAAUUUACACUGAAAGGAAAUUCCUGGAGAGGAAUCUGAUGUCAGCAGAGGAAGCUUUUAAAUUUUCUUCCUUUCGGUGAGAGUGGAGGGUGAGGGGGAACGACUGGGAAUUUUUCAGUUAUCCUAGGGGUGACCUAGGAGACAGGACCACCUCCCUCCCCUCCUACCGCUCAGGCAGGGGCUUGCUGAGCACCGGGAGUAAGCCCUCCGGUUGGCUGGGCUUCCUGAAAACCCUGAGCCACCCGGUUCAGGAGAAAGGACUCAGGGAGGUGCCUGAGCCUCUCCUUCCUUUUCCUUGCCACGCAUGCUCACCUUGCCAGCCUGGGUGGAGCUGGCCAGGUGUGCCUGAAGGAGGUGAGGGAUGCCAGGAGUUCUCAGAGAGGGAGUCGUCUCACCAUGAGAUUUGGUGGCAAGGAAUUAAGUGUGAAAUGGGGCCCUCUCUGCUGUUGGCGGAUGAGGUCUUUGGGACCUCUGUUUGCAUGAAGGAUAGCAUCUCUGGGAUGGAGAGAGAAACCCGGCUCAGGUCACCAGGAAGCUGGAAGGUGGGAUGGUCCGUGGAACCGGCCCCAGGAUGCUCCCCGGCUGUGGAUGACCGAGCCGCCAGCCCCCUACGGAUGCUGCGCCCCAGUCUUCUGACCCGGGGAUCCCGCCCGGUGCGGGCCUGAGCUUCCGAGCAGCCACGGCGCAGGGACCCGGGGGAAGGGGCUCGGCGCCGGCGGGAAACAUUCUCCCCCAGCGACUCGGCAAGAUGACCAGCCUG